This 532-nucleotide ribosomal RNA is filed under the name fungal sp. SK9. RNAcentral describes it as "eukaryotic LSU rRNA". The stretch from base 145 to 298 matches the Rfam family "5.8S ribosomal RNA". The record is from RNAcentral. Lineage: Eukaryota; Fungi.
AGGAGCUAAACUCCCAACCCCUGUGACAUACCAAUUGUUGCCUCGGCGGAUCAGCCCGCUCCCGGUAAAACGGGACGGCCCGCCAGAGGACCCCUAAACUCUGUUUCUAUAUGUAACUUCUGAGUAAAACCAUAAAUAAAUCAAAACUUUCAACAACGGAUCUCUUGGUUCUGGCAUCGAUGAAGAACGCAGCAAAAUGCGAUAAGUAAUGUGAAUUGCAGAAUUCAGUGAAUCAUCGAAUCUUUGAACGCACAUUGCGCCCGCCAGUAUUCUGGCGGGCAUGCCUGUUCGAGCGUCAUUUCAACCCUCAAGCCCCCGGGUUUGGUGUUGGGGAUCGGCGAGCCCUUGCGGCAAGCCGGCCCCGAAAUCUAGUGGCGGUCUCGCUGCAGCUUCCAUUGCGUAGUAGUAAAACCCUCGCAACUGGUACGCGGCGCGGCCAAGCCGUUAAACCCCCAACUUCUGAAUGUUGACCUCGGAUCAGGUAGGAAUACCCGCUGAACUUAAGCAUAUCAUAAGGCGGAGGAAAUCUUUA